AUUGAACGCUGGCGGCAUGCUUUACACAUGCAAGUCGAACGGUAACAGGCCUUCGGGUGCUGACGAGUGGCGAACGGGUGAGUAAUGCAUCGGAACGUGCCCAGAGGUGGGGGAUAACGCAGCGAAAGCUGUGCUAAUACCGCAUGUGAUCUGAGGAUGAAAGCGGGGGACCAAGCAGCAAUGUUUGGCCUCGCGCCUCUGGAGCGGCCGAUGUCAGAUUAGGUAGUUGGUGGGGUAAAGGCCUACCAAGCCGACGAUCUGUAGCUGGUCUGAGAGGACGACCAGCCACACUGGGACUGAGACACGGCCCAGACUCCUACGGGAGGCAGCAGUGGGGAAUUUUGGACAAUGGGCGCAAGCCUGAUCCAGCAAUGCCGCGUGCGGGAAGAAGGCCUUCGGGUUGUAGACCGCUUUUGUACGGAACGAAAAGGCUCUGGCUAAUACCUGGGGCUGAUGACGGUACCGUAAGAAUAAGCACCGGCUAACUACGUG
This 492-nucleotide ribosomal RNA is filed under the name uncultured bacterium. Its description in RNAcentral is "partial 16S ribosomal RNA". It matches the Rfam family "Bacterial small subunit ribosomal RNA", at positions 30 to 507 of the family's 1533-position model. The record is from RNAcentral.